This 395-nucleotide ribosomal RNA is filed under the name uncultured bacterium. Its description in RNAcentral is "bacterial SSU rRNA". It matches the Rfam family "Bacterial small subunit ribosomal RNA", at positions 505 to 898 of the family's 1533-position model. The record is from RNAcentral.
GUGUCAGCAGCCGCGGUAAUACGUAGGGGGCUAGCGUUGUCCGGAAUCAUUGGGCGUAAAGCGCGCGUAGGCGGCCCGGUAAGUCCGCUCUGAAAGUCCAGGGCUCAACCCUGGAAAGCGGGUGGAUACUGCCGGGCUAGAAUCCGGAAGAGGCGAGUGGAAUUCCUGGUGUAGCGGUGGAAUGCGCAGAUAUCAGGAGGAACACCAAUAGCGAAGGCAGCUCGCUGGGACGGUAUUGACGCUGAGGCGCGAAAGCGUGGGGAGCAAACAGGAUUAGAUACCCUGGUAGUCCACGCCGUAAACGAUGGGCACUAGGUGUGGGAGGUGUCGACUCCUCCCGUGCCGACGCUAACGCAUUAAGUGCCCCGCCUGGGGAGUACGGCCGCAAGGCUAAA